UGCCAGACUCCUACGGGAGGCAGCAGUGGGGAAUAUUGCACAAUGGGGGGAACCCUGAUGCAGCGACGCCGCGUGAGGGAAGAAGGUUUUCGGAUUGUAAACCUCUGUCCUCUGUGACGAUAAUGACGGUAGCAGAGGAGGAAGCCACGGCUAACUACGUGCCAGCAGCCGCGGUAAUACGUAGGUGGCAAGCGUUGUCCGGAUUUACUGGGUGUAAAGGGCGUGUAGCCGGGCCGGCAAGUCAGAUGUGAAAUCCCAAGGCUCAACCUUGGAAUUGCAUUUGAAACUGUUGGUCUUGAGUAUCGGAGAGGCAGGCGGAAUUCCUAGUGUAGCGGUGAAAUGCGUAGAUAUUAGGAGGAACACCAGUGGCGAAGGCGGCCUGCUGGACGACAACUGACGGUGAGGCGCGAAAGCGUGGGGAGCAAACAGGAUUAGAUACCCUUGUAUU
Molecule: ribosomal RNA, 448 nt
Filed under: uncultured bacterium
Lineage: Bacteria
Description: partial 16S ribosomal RNA
Rfam family: Bacterial small subunit ribosomal RNA
Source: RNAcentral